AGUGAACGCUGGCGGUAGGCCUAACACAUGCGAGUCGAACGGCAGCACAGUAAGAGCUUGCUCUUACGGGUGGCGAGUGGCGGACGGGUGAGGAAUACAUCGGAAUCUACUUUUUCGUGGGGGAUAACGUAGGGAAACUUACGCUAAUACCGCAUACGACCUACGGGUGAAAGCAGGGGAUCUUCGGACCUUGCGCGAUUGAAUGAGCCGAUGUCGGAUUAGCUAGUUGGCGGGGUAAAGGCCCACCAAGGCGACGAUCCGUAGCUGGUCUGAGAGGAUGAUCGGCCACACUGGAACUGAGACACGGUCCAGACUCCUACGGGAGGCAGCAGUGGGGAAUAUUCGGCAAUGGGCGAAAGCCUGAUGCAGCCAUGCCGCGUGGGUGAAGAAGGCCUUCGGGUUGUAAAACCCUUUUGUUGGGGAAGAAAAACAGUGUGAUUAACCCUCCCCGUUUUGACGGUACCCAAAGAAAAAGCCACGGCUAACUUCGUG
RNAcentral lists this ribosomal RNA (492 nucleotides) under uncultured bacterium. RNAcentral describes it as "partial 16S ribosomal RNA". It matches the Rfam family "Bacterial small subunit ribosomal RNA", at positions 29 to 507 of the family's 1533-position model. The record is from RNAcentral.